This 346-nucleotide ribosomal RNA is filed under the name uncultured bacterium. Its description in RNAcentral is "partial 16S ribosomal RNA". It matches the Rfam family "Bacterial small subunit ribosomal RNA", at positions 338 to 701 of the family's 1533-position model. The record is from RNAcentral.
CCUACGGGCGGCAGCAGUGGGGGAUAUUGCACAAUGGGGGAAACCCUGAUGCAGCGACGCCGCGUGUGGGAAGACGGUCCUCUGGAUUGUAAACCACUGUCCCCAGGGACGAAGAUGACGGUACCUGGGGAGGAAGCUCCGGCUAACUACGUGCCAGCAGCCGCGGUAAUACGUAGGGAGCGAGCGUUGUCCGGAAUUACUGGGUGUAAAGGGAGCGUAGGCGGGGAUGCAAGUUGGGUGUCAAAACUACCGGCUCAACUGGGAGGCGCACGCAAAACUGCAGCUCUUGAGUGAAGUAGAGGCAGGCGGAAUUCCUAGUGUAACGGGGAAAUGGGUAGAUAUUAGG